RNAcentral lists this ribosomal RNA (375 nucleotides) under uncultured bacterium. RNAcentral describes it as "bacterial SSU rRNA". It matches the Rfam family "Bacterial small subunit ribosomal RNA", at positions 521 to 896 of the family's 1533-position model. The record is from RNAcentral.
UAAUACGUAGGCAGCGAGCGUUGUUCGGAGUUACUGGGCGUAAAGCGUGCGUAGGCGGUGUUCCAAGUCUGGUGUGAAAUCUCCCGGCUCAACUGGGAGGGUGCGCUAGAAACUGGGACGCUGGAGUGUGGGAGAGGUAAGCGGAAUUCCUGGUGUAGCGGUGAAAUGCGUAGAUAUCAGGAGGAACACCUGCGGUGUAGACGGCUUACUGGACCAUGACUGACGCUGAGGCACGAAAGCGUGGGGAGCAAACAGGAUUAGAUACCCUGGUAGUCCACGCCCUAAACGAUGCAUACUUGGUGUGGGCAGUUCAGUCUGUCCGUGCCGGAGCUAACGCGUUAAGUAUGCCGCCUGGGGAGUACGGUCGCAAGGCUG